UACGUAGGGCGCAAGCGUUGUCCGGAAUUAUUGGGCGUAAAGAGCUCGUAGGCGGUUUGUCGCGUCUGCUGUGAAAACCUGAGGCUCAACCUCGGGCUUGCAGUGGGUACGGGCAGACUAGAGUGCGGUAGGGGUGACUGGAAUUCCUGGUGGAGUGGUGAAAUGCGUAGAGAUCCGGAAGAACACCAAAGGCGAAGGCAGUGUCCUGGCUGGCACCUGACGCUCAGGGGCGAAAGCGAGGGAGCGAACGGG
RNAcentral lists this ribosomal RNA (252 nucleotides) under uncultured bacterium. RNAcentral describes it as "partial 16S ribosomal RNA". It matches the Rfam family "Bacterial small subunit ribosomal RNA", at positions 524 to 776 of the family's 1533-position model. The record is from RNAcentral.